This 384-nucleotide ribosomal RNA is filed under the name uncultured bacterium. Its description in RNAcentral is "bacterial SSU rRNA". It matches the Rfam family "Bacterial small subunit ribosomal RNA", at positions 29 to 416 of the family's 1533-position model. The record is from RNAcentral.
AUUGAACGCUGGCGGAAUGCUUUACACAUGCAAGUCGAGCGGCAGCGCGGGGCAACCUGGCGGCGAGCGGCGAACGGGUGAGUAAUGUAUCGGAACGUACCCAGUCGUGGGGGAUAACUAUCCGAAAGGAUAGCUAAUACCGCAUACGUCCUGAGGGAGAAAGCGGGGGAUCGCAAGACCUCGCGCGAUUGGAGCGGCCGAUAUCGGAUUAGCUAGUUGGUGAGGUAAAGGCUCACCAAGGCGACGAUCCGUAGCUGGUCUGAGAGGACGACCAGCCACACUGGAACUGAGACACGGUCCAGACUCCUACGGGAGGCAGCAGUGGGGAAUUUUGGACAAUGGGGGCAACCCUGAUCCAGCCAUUCCGCGUGAGUGAAGAAGGCC